CUCCCCUUGCCUCUGCUCCCAGCUGCUUGAUCUUUUCCUCCUUUGUGUCACUGAUACUCAUCUGAUCACACGAACAGGUAAACCAAUGUCACAGAGUUGUGCAGCAUAAAAAUGGAUGGUGGUUCAUAGACAACUACAGCACAGCGUGUUUCACCUCUGCUACCCAGCAGAUAUUUUCACUCCUGUUCAAGCAGCCUCCAGGUUGACCUUUUCUUCAUGAUGAAGAAGAGCGUUGCUGAUGUUGAUGUUCUUCAGGUCCAUCCCAUUCAGUCCUGGAUGCCCAUCUGGAGUCUUUAGGCCGUGAAGAAGAGCCCUCUUGCCCGACUACUGCUAAAUCCUGGCAGGCUUAAACUGCAGCUGAAUGUCUGUCGCUGUGAAAGAGCGUGGAGUUCCUACGAGUCACCGGAUUCUCAAGCUUCUCAGAAUGACGAUUUUGAGGAACUUUGCUGACCAUUGUGUCUAUCCUUUUGCAGGGAACAAAAGGAAGGUCUUUAGAGUGAAGUGAAGUCUGCUGCUGUUAAUAGAGAACUACCUUGUCAUGAAGCUCGCCUAAAAAGUGUCUCCUAACCUUACAACAUAUCCAACAACAAUC
Long non-coding RNA from Aptenodytes forsteri (emperor penguin), 592 nucleotides. RefSeq lists it as uncharacterized. Lineage: Eukaryota; Metazoa; Chordata; Aves; Sphenisciformes; Spheniscidae. The record is from RefSeq and is a predicted model, not a curated record. The transcript is spliced from 5 exons.